AUGGAUAAGUCUCAAGUUUUAACUGGAGGGCCUGAGACAUUCGCAAAAAAGUGUUUCAUCAUGCAAACGCACAGCAAACUGUGUGUCUCCGCACUUACUACUCUAUCUGGACUCCAAGAGUGGGCAGACCUCCCAGAUGGUUUGUUGCACACUAUUCUUCCUCUCUUAGGCUCUGUACGUGAUCUUCUUGCCUUUUCUGCAACAUGCCGCUCUUGGCAUGUUGCAUUCUUGUCAUACCCAUCCAAAUCUACCCUCUGCACCCUGUUCCCCCCUCUCCUCAUCCAAACCAACAUCCGUGUUGAUGCUCCUCACGUUCCAUCUAACGAUAUUCAUUGCAAGUUGCGCACCUGUAAGGUCAUUGACCCAUCCAACCAAAACAUCACUCUUCGCUGCCAGAUUGAUGAAGAAAUUCUACAAAAGAUGUAUUGUGUUGGCCCUUCCUAUGGUCAUCUCAUCUUCUUUUGCUCCCGUGGAUAUUGUCUUGUUGUUGACCCUUUCAGUGGUUCCAAAGUUUCACCCCCACGUCUUCCAAUCAGUGGCUGCGAGCGGGUUAGUCCUACCAAAAUACAUGCUCAACAUUCAGAGAUUGCGGAGUUGUACUUCUUCGGUGUUCUAACAGCUCCCAUUACAUCACCCAAUUCACAUCUCCUUGUGGGCACUCGAUUCUCUCUAUUUGAUUGGCCAGUUGGAAGUGACUCUUGGUCAGAACUCAAACUUCCUUGUGGUGCACAAUAA
Molecule: ribosomal RNA, 735 nt
Filed under: Triticum aestivum (bread wheat)
Lineage: Eukaryota; Viridiplantae; Streptophyta; Magnoliopsida; Poales; Poaceae
Description: partial small subunit ribosomal RNA
Source: RNAcentral